AUAGACAGCACCGAUAAAAAGCCACAUUGAAGGGAAUGAUGCAUAACCCCCACCCUCCUCCAAUUUCUUCUUGCACACAUUUAAUGUUUUAAAGCAUUAGCCUUCUCGGUUCGCGACACCAGAUCCCACAAAUAUCCAAGUUCCGAAUACGCAACACACUGUAAACAUUUUAAGAUCAAUACUCUGUUUACAUUAUGCUCAUGGAGGUUGCAAUGCCUUAAUUUUAAUAUAUUAUUUUGAACAGCGCUUUACUCAGUUCUUUCAAAGUCAAUUUCAGCGGAUGAAGAAACCCGAAGGCUGUUGUUAAAUUAACCUUCCAUGAAUCGACUGUGCCCAAAGCGGCUCGGAACCCAUUCGGGGCAAGAGAGAACUGAUUGCAGGGUCGUGAGUUGGAGGGACACAUUCGGCGGCGGCGGUGAAUCAACUGGGAAGGCGCUGUCCUGGAAUUAAUUUCAUUUACUACAAAAUAAAAUCCAAGGCACUCUACAUUCUGGCUCCAGCCUUCCAUAGUCGCAUCAUAAGGAUCGAUCCUGCCAAAGAGUGGCAUGCCUGGAAUGUACCAUGAAAAGAAGACUGAAAGGAAAAGGAAUAAGUUUUUUUGGAAAACAUCAGAUCUCUUCUAGAAUAAGAAGCCAAUAACCCUGGGAAAAGACAAUGAUAACAGAUGGUGGCAGCAGUGACAACACCCAUAGAGGAACAGUAGAAAAUGGUGGGAAAAGCCUCAAGUGAAGCCCAACAGCACAGAGCAGCAGGUGAAAGACUUUGAGGCCAACCCAACAAUCAUACUGGAGGUGACUAAAAAAAACGGCAGCCCAGUGACCAGCAAGACCCGCAGUGUAGGAAAAGAUAACCUCAAACCAGGGGGAGAAAUGGCUAUUACAUUGCCCUACCAUUAUCCUUUCAAACUAUAGGGGGCCCCAGACAGGCUGACCAAUGCCAAAAUUGGCAAAGACAUUUUAUCCUAUUCUACAAUGCCUCAGGUCAUGCGAGUCAAAAGAACAAAGAUCAGGUCCGCACUUUGUUAUAUACUAUUGGGAGCAUAACAGAUGACGU
Long non-coding RNA from Carcharodon carcharias (great white shark), 1053 nucleotides. RefSeq lists it as uncharacterized. Lineage: Eukaryota; Metazoa; Chordata; Chondrichthyes; Lamniformes; Lamnidae. The record is from RefSeq and is a predicted model, not a curated record. The transcript is spliced from 5 exons.